CCUACGGGAGGCAGCAGUGGGGAAUAUUGCACAAUGGGGGAAACCCUGAUGCAGCAACGCCGCGUGAGUGAAGAAGUAUUUCGGUAUGUAAAGCUCUAUCAGCAGGGAAGAAGAUGACGGUACCUGAGUAAGAAGCCCCGGCUAACUACGUGCCAGCAGCCGCGGUAAUACGUAGGGGGCAAGCGUUAUCCGGAAUUACUGGGUGUAAAGGGAGCGUAGACGGUGAUGCAAGUCUGGAGUGAAAGGCGGGGGCCCAACCCCCGGACUGCUCUGGAAACUGUGUAACUUGAGUGCAGGAGAGGUAC
This 305-nucleotide ribosomal RNA is filed under the name uncultured bacterium. RNAcentral describes it as "bacterial SSU rRNA". It matches the Rfam family "Bacterial small subunit ribosomal RNA", at positions 338 to 660 of the family's 1533-position model. The record is from RNAcentral.